UUCCUGAGUUCCGCCUAAGGAUUUCUUCGUCCUCCAUCCUAUGGCUUCAGUGCAAAGCUGCUCCAGCUGUUGGAAAGUGCUCCUCUAAGCCCCGUGGCCUUUGAUUUCCCUAACAGCUGUCUUUUCCAGUUCUUAAGCCAAUCGAAGCCAGCAUGUUGUCUCAUUGAGCGUCUGCGCAGGUUCUGAGCUCAUCCCAUUGGUGUAUGUGUCUUGUUUGCUGGCGGUGGCCGUGCAGAUGAUGGGUGCUUUGUCCCUGAGGUGGAGACCUUCCAGAUGAGAAAACCAAGGCUCAGAA
Molecule: long non-coding RNA, 295 nt
Organism: Talpa occidentalis (Iberian mole)
Lineage: Eukaryota; Metazoa; Chordata; Mammalia; Eulipotyphla; Talpidae
Exons: 3
Source: RefSeq, a predicted model, not a curated record